This 367-nucleotide ribosomal RNA is filed under the name uncultured bacterium. RNAcentral's name for it is "bacterial SSU rRNA". It matches the Rfam family "Bacterial small subunit ribosomal RNA", at positions 527 to 896 of the family's 1533-position model. The record is from RNAcentral.
GGAGGAUCCGAGCGAUAUCCGGAUUUAUUGGGUUUAAAGGGAGCGUAGGUGGACAGUUAAGUCAGUUGUGAAAGUUUGCGGCUCAACCGUAAAAUUGCAGUUGAUACUGGCUGUCUUGAGUACAGUAGAGGUGGGCGGAAUUCGUGGUGUAGCGGUGAAAUGCUUAGAUAUCACGAAGAACUCCGAUUGCGAAGGCAGCUCACUGGACUGCAACUGACACUGAUGCUCGAAAGUGUGGGUAUCAAACAGGAUUAGAUACCCUGGUAGUCCACACAGUAAACGAUGAAUACUCGCUGUUUGCGAUAUACAGUAAGCGGCCAAGCGAAAGCAUUAAGUAUUCCACCUGGGGAGUACGCCGGCAACGGUG